RNAcentral lists this ribosomal RNA (631 nucleotides) under Cloacibacterium caeni. Its description in RNAcentral is "bacterial SSU rRNA". It matches the Rfam family "Bacterial small subunit ribosomal RNA", at positions 116 to 746 of the family's 1533-position model. The record is from RNAcentral. Lineage: Bacteria; Pseudomonadati; Bacteroidota; Flavobacteriia; Flavobacteriales; Weeksellaceae.
CGUGUGCAACCUGCCUUUAUCUGGGGGAUAGCCUUUCGAAAGGAAGAUUAAUACUCCAUAAUAUAUUGAACGGCAUCGUUUAAUAUUGAAAGCUCCGGCGGAUAGAGAUGGGCACGCGCAAGAUUAGCUAGUUGGUGAGGUAACGGCUCACCAAGGCAAUGAUCUUUAGGGGGCCUGAGAGGGUGAUCCCCCACACUGGUACUGAGACACGGACCAGACUCCUACGGGAGGCAGCAGUGAGGAAUAUUGGUCAAUGGGUGCAAGCCUGAACCAGCCAUCCCGCGUGAAGGACGACUGCCCUAUGGGUUGUAAACUUCUUUUGUAUAGGGAUAAACCUUUCCACGUGUGGAAAGCUGAAGGUACUAUACGAAUAAGCACCGGCUAACUCCGUGCCAGCAGCCGCGGUAAUACGGAGGGUGCAAGCGUUAUCCGGAUUUAUUGGGUUUAAAGGGUCCGUAGGCGGACUUAUAAGUCAGUGGUGAAAGCCUGUCGCUUAACGAUAGAACUGCCAUUGAUACUGUAAGUCUUGAGUAUAUUUGAGGUAGCUGGAAUAAGUAGUGUAGCGGUGAAAUGCAUAGAUAUUACUUAGAACACCAAUUGCGAAGGCAGGUUACCAAGAUAUAACUGACGC